Molecule: ribosomal RNA, 468 nt
Filed under: uncultured bacterium
Lineage: Bacteria
Description: partial 16S ribosomal RNA
Rfam family: Bacterial small subunit ribosomal RNA
Source: RNAcentral
GACGAACGCUGGCGGCGUGCUUAACACAUGCAAGUCGAACGGCAAGGCACUGCGUUUGUGGGGUGCUCGAGUGGCGAACGGGUGAGUAACACGUGAGUAACCUGCCCUUGUCUUUGGGAUAACUUCAGGAAACUGGGGCUAAUACCGGAUAGGAGCUCCUGCUGCAUGGUGGGGGUUGGAAAGUUUCGGCGGUUGGGGAUGGACUCGCGGCUUAUCAGCUUGUUGGUGGGGGAGUGGCUUACCAAGGCUUUGACGGGUAGCCGGCCUGAGAGGGUGACCGGCCACAAUGGGACUGAGGUACGGCCCAGACGCCUACGGGAGGCAGCAGUGGGGAAUAUUGCACAAUGGGCGGAGGCCUGAUGCAGCAACGCCGCGUGCGGGAUGACGGCCUUCGGGUUGUAAACCGCUUUCGCCUGUGACGAAGCGUGAGUGACGGUAAUGGGUAAAGAAGCACCGGCUAACUACGUG